GGGGUACCUUUUGUUGCAGCCAUGAGUACCCUCGUGCUUUUCCUAAUACCUUUCUGAGCCCACUUGAUGCUCAUAUGAAGAACCAAACAGGUGGCUAUGAUGUGUUAUGAGCUGAGCCAAAUUUGGUAAAAUUUGUCUUAUCAUCGCGCACACAAAUUGUUGUAUUCGCAACUUGUUUAACGAUGUCAUUGGAACCGUUUGAUUAAUGGUUGUUUUGCCAAACUGGCUAAAUGCUCAUGUAUAACCUCAAAAGUGCUGUUAAUAUUUGGUGUUAAAAGCACGGUGGGAAGUCAUCGUGAUUGCCAUUACAGGUAUUUCGCUGACCAAACACACAGCGACACAUUUCAAAAUUAUGCAAAUGGGUGCAUUUUUUGUACAGUGACUCAUAAUUGAACUUUUCUUCAGUUGGGUUUUAAAUUGUAUUGUUGAAUUAGGUACGGUAGCUAUAUAGAUCUCUCUACAUCUAUUUACAUGGUGUUCUGAUUUUAGAUUACAAUAAAAUCAAGAGUGUGAAGUAUAGACCCCGUAAUUAAUGCUGCCUCCAAUGCUUCUGUCAAUUGGUUGCAUGAAUUCCUAUCUUUAUCACUUGGUCUUCUGUUAUUAUCUUGUGGUUGUGAUGGUUGAUCAAUGAAAGAGUGAAAAUUAGUAUUAUCAAAUUGAAAUUUGUUUUUGAUUUUAGAGUUUCUCUGGAAAAGUAUUCUUUGAUGAGGCCUAUUUCCCAGGUUGUUCAUGAAAUAGAUUGAUCACUGAGGGAAGCAUACCAAUCCUGGCUGCCUAAUGUUCUCCAAUUAACACGCUCAGUAAUUGGGAUCUCAGAAGUCUCUUUCCUCAUACCAGCACUUUCCUGCCUUCCGCAUUUGGUUCCUUAAAAACUAUAAGGAGAUCGUAAGUUCUAAUUCCCUUCACCUCCUUGGAAUAAUUUAAACUUCCUCACGGUUGUGCUUGCCCCACAAGCAUUUCUGCAGUUUUGGUUCAGUGCCCAUACUUCUUGCUAAAUGUGCUGCAAGCAAUAGAUACACCUUAGAUGAAACUGUAGUCAGGUAUCCAGGUUCUUAUCAUAUGUAUUCAACUGUUGGUUUCUUGCUAAAUUACCAAUUAUGGUAGUUUCAUAAACUUGUGAGGGCUGUCAAUAUACUUUCAUACCAGCUAUCACAAAGUUUUGUCUGAAUGAGUUGUGUUAGAACCCACAGUAAACAAGUAAAAUACAGAUACUUAAAUGUGCCUCCUAAGGUCUAAUGGGUGUUUGAUAAUAAUGUACCAUUUGUUCAAAUUUCCUGUUUAGUUUUGUCUAAUAAGUCUUUCUUUUUCUCUAAAGCGAUCAUGAACUUCUUGGAACAAAGUGCAAAUAGAUCUAUUUUACUGCUUUUGGUAUGGCAAUCAAUAAUCAUCUUUUUAAUGGAACUUGGCAUUUGAACAAAGUGCAAGUUACAGAACUUGGACUAUUAUGUAGGGAUCAUGUCAUUGCUUUUAAGAUAAAAACAGAGAGAUUACUUUUCCCAGUUUUACCAUGUGGAGUGUCCUUGUGGAGUCGGAUCUUUGUGUAGGGUUGAUUCUUACUCAUUGCCAAGUAAGUGUCCAUAGUUUUGUAAAUUACAUUCCAAAUACUACGGUAUUGAUCAUUUUCCUCUUGCUCUAAUAAAUGUGCAUUUUCAGAUCUGUUACCAUGUCCUUGAGCUAUUACAUGGAAUUUGGACCCCUAUUCUUUGAUCUAUGAAAGAUUAUAUUGCGACUCCAAAACCUAAUGGUUAUCAGAGUCUUCAUACAACAAUAAUUCCAUUUCUUUAUGAGACCAUGUUUCAGCUACAAGUUCAGGUUUGGUCUUUAAUCUCCAACUUUUUUCUCAUUAUGCAAUUUCUCUUUUUUGAUUCUCUAAAUGUUGUUUAAUGUCAUAUCCUUAUUACUCGUCACUUUUAGUCCUUUGAAAAACAUUCAAUUUGAGAUGGGAUGUACUAUUAAAACCUUACAGUGAUCUGUUGAAUUUAUGAAAAAAUAUAGCCCUUAACAGCGAAGAAUAGUAAAGAAGGAUUCAUGUAUCAGAUGCCCUUUAAUUGUAACAUGGGGCUUAGUUUUGUUUGGAUUUCCCUUCUGGUAUUCAGUCAUAUUUUCCCUUUUUAUGGUUGACACAUAAGAACUAAAGAGGUGGAUCUGAUAGUAGAGAGAGGCAUUGCUACCCCUUAUAGUGGCAAGGUUUUGGUUAACGGUUUAGUUGGUCAUGCAAGCAUUGCCCUCAGGGUAUUUCUCUUUGAUCCUUGCUAAUUUAAUAGUCUUCCUUCAUCCUUUAAGGAAUUUUCUUUUUACAUUUCUUUGGAUUUUCAUUCCUAUUCUAUUUCUUCAUUCCCUCCUACAUGAAUUUAUAAAACCCGUCUAACUGAUGUGCGCAGUAUCAAUCCACUCAAUCCAAAGGGCCGGGGAUGUAAGUGUCCUAUGGUUAGACACACCCCCUUUAGAUGGAGGGGUUUCAUGAGAAAAGAAAGCAAAAAAUAGCUUUUUGACCUUUUCAUUUCCAUUUGAAGAUUUUAAAUAAUGACUUUACUAUACCCAUGCUUAUUAGCUUUUCUUUUUGGUUUUCUCACCAAUGCUACAAUAGGGAGAUAUGUUGGUGGUUGGGUUGAAGGACUAGGAAUGGUAUUAAAUGUAAUUGCUGGCUUAUGUACUACGUUGAUUAGCUAUGAACAUAACUUAUUGUGUGGUUGUCACUUAAUUUUGUUAAGUCUGCCUUUAAUUUCUAAGUGAGUUGUCCUGCUUUUCUAGCUGAUUGCGAUCCAGUAGUGUAAUGUGGAAUAAUGCAUUUGUCAUUUCGUUCAAUCUGUAUUUCAUGGUUUUGGAUAGGUCAACCCUUUCGAAUUACUAUGCAGUAUAUGAAUUUUUGUAGCUUCCCAUGUGAAUUUAGCCUCUCUUGCAUGAAGAUAAUAUUGAAAAGACUAAGAAAAGUUGAUAGUUCAAUUUAAGGAUGAGGAAUGGGUUAAAGUGUUGUUGGCUCAUGAGAUACUAUAUUGAUUAACAAUGAAUAUAAUUUUUUACACGGUCACAUCUUAUUUUUCUUGUUUAACUCUGCUUUUAAUUGUUUCCUAAUCUUCUUAGGCAUUGUCAAGCAUAAUUUUAUAUGAGGUAUGCGUCACAUAAUACAAUUCCUGCCCGCUUACUUUGGAUACCCAACAAUCGCUUAUUAAGUAUCCAAUGUGCUUUUAACAUAUAAUGCAACAGUUGCUCAUUUCCUUACUCGCACGUAUAACUUUGAAAACGCAUCACCUUUGGCGAUGAUUUUGUGGAAAGUGAAAUGAUUUAGAUGAGCAUGAGUCACUGUACAAGAAAUAUAAAUAUAUCAAGGAUCUUGUUCAUACUAUUCAUGUUAAUAGUCAAUCAGUUUUUAAGAUCACCGAUUAUGCUUAUAAUUUAGAUGAUAAUAUUUGCAGAAACUUGUUGAUCAAUCAUGGAGAUCUUUGAUUGGUAACACGUUUUGGCUGCCACUCAAACACCAGGAGAAACAGGAAAGAAGCGAUUCUAAAGAGCUGCAGAUUAUAAUUUACGUGGGUAUUUGAGGUAUGUGCUAACCUUAGAAUCAUUCACUAUCAAUCUGUUUUUAAUAUUUAAAACUUUAAAAGGACUAAUUCCAAACACUAUGCUGGCUCGGUGGUUUUUGUGGGGCCUCGCCACUGCUGAGUUCGCUUCCUUUCUCGACUUUCUUCCGUUCGUUUCAAUCUUCCCGCGUUUUCUGAACGCUGAGCGGUGGAUGAGGUUCAGGUGGCCGAUAAAUAUCCGCCUUACUCGACAAGUUUGUCUAAUUUUUUCCUCCUGUUGACUGACUCUAUUUGUGCAUGUGUUGUGGUGUUCUAAGAAUAAAUGGAUGUGGGUGUGCGUUUACACAAACUGCUGGUUUUAAUUCAAAGGCAAUACAUUGUUAGUCCGUUAUAGUAUCCAGUUAAGAAUAUAGGUUUAGGUUCUGCGCCUUCUGCCUAAGCAAUUGACUGUUAGUCCUAGAGCCACACACACUGUUUAAAUUGUUCAAUGCGGCAUUUAUAGGAAAAUAGUAAGGUACGCCUGUUUCGUUGUACCUAAGGUUCCACGGUAAUGAGUUGACUUGAUUAUUUCUCAUGUUGUUACCUAUCUGAUGCAAUGGAUGAUGAUGAAUUGUUAGUUUUUGGAAGAAAUAUAAAUAUUGGAACCACAUUUUGAUUUUCUGAAAUGAAUAAAUGGCUGUGCCUCUUUAUUUUGUUUCUCUAAUCAGUAGUAUCACGUGUUUUCUGAGUGUGCUUAUUCAAACAAAAUUUGGAGUAUGAUAAUGGACAGAUGCAAUAUUCAAACUUCAGAAGACCUCUUUUCUGGUCAGAGGAACUGGGAUGGGCAAGUGGUUAUCUUGGGGGAACCUCCUUCCAUUCUGCUAUUCUCAGGCUGCAGUUUGCCGCUGUUGUCUAUGAUUUUUGGUUGGAAAGAAAUGCUAGAGUUUUUGCAGGAAAAGUCAGGUAUUUCAGUUCUGUUCUCAAUUGCAUCAGUGGUGACAUGAGGAACAGGAUUUGUACAUGGAAGAAAAUAGGCAAUAGUCAUAAGAACUGGUCCUUAUAUUUAGUUGGAAUGUCCCUACUAAGAUUCUAAAAGACUGAUUUGUAGCGUUUUGUUUUGGCUCUUUUUGCUUGCUGUGUAUUCAUGACUUUCCUAUUUCCAACUUGUCCAAGACCGUCGUUGAACUCUUUCUUUUUUUUGAUCGGACCGUCGUUGAACUUCAGACAUGCAUUUUGCGCAAAUGUACUUUGUUC
Molecule: long non-coding RNA, 4751 nt
Organism: Rhododendron vialii
Lineage: Eukaryota; Viridiplantae; Streptophyta; Magnoliopsida; Ericales; Ericaceae
Exons: 2
Source: RefSeq, a predicted model, not a curated record